Molecule: ribosomal RNA, 319 nt
Filed under: uncultured eukaryote
Lineage: Eukaryota
Description: partial 18S ribosomal RNA
Rfam family: Eukaryotic small subunit ribosomal RNA
Source: RNAcentral
CCCUUAGAUGUUCUGGGCAGCACGCGCGCUACAAUGGUCUUCGCAAACGGAUGCAUUCUCGAAGGAGAAUGCCAAUCUUGGAAUCUAUGCCUUGGUCGGGACAGUUGCUUGCAAUUUUUCGACUCGAACCAGGAAUUCCUUGUAAUCGUGAUUCAUCACAUCACGAUGAAUACGUCCCUGCCCUUUGUACACACCGCCCGUCGCUCCUACCGAUCGAAGAGUUCGGUGAAUUGUUUUGAUCGAUAAGAUUUGACUAUGGUCAACUCUCGUUGUGAAAUUCUGUGAAUCUGACUGUUUAGAGGAAGGAAAAGUCGUAACA